This 393-nucleotide ribosomal RNA is filed under the name uncultured bacterium. Its description in RNAcentral is "partial 16S ribosomal RNA". It matches the Rfam family "Bacterial small subunit ribosomal RNA", at positions 523 to 918 of the family's 1533-position model. The record is from RNAcentral.
AUACGGAGGACGCGAGCGUUAUCCGGAUUCAUUGGGUUUAAAGGGUGCGCAGGCGGCCGUGCAAGUCAGCGGUGAAAGCCCGGGGCCCAACCCCGGAAGUGCCGUUGAUACUGCAUGGCUUGAAUGCGGUCGAGGCGGGCGGAACGGGGCGUGUAGCGGGGGAGUGCGUAGAUAUGCCACAGAACGCCGAUAGCGGAGGCAGCUCGCCAGGCCUGCAUUGACGCUCGGGCGCGAAAGCGUGGGGAUCGAACAGGAUUAGAUACCCUGGUAGUCCACGCCGUAAACGAUGGGCGCUCGUCGUCGGCGGCAGACAGUCGGCGGCCAAGCGAAAGCGAUAAGCGCCCCACCUGGGGAGUACGGUCGCAAGGCUGAAACUCAAAUGAAUUGACGGGG